AUUGAACGCUGGCGGCAGGCCUAACACAUGCAAGUCGCACGAGUGGCGGACGGGUGAGUAAUGGCUGGGAAACUGCCUGAUGGAGGGGGAUAACUACUGGACACGGUAGCUAAUACCGCAUACCAUCAGAUGGGCCCAGACGGGAUUAGCUGGUUGGUGGGGUAACGGCGCACCAAGGCGACGAUCCCUAGCUGGUCUGAGAGUAUGACCAGCCACACUGGAACGGAGACACGGUCCAGACGCCUACGGGAGGCAGCAGUGGUGAAUAUUGCACAAUGGGCGCAAGCCUGAUGCAGCCAGGCCGCGUGUAUGAAGAAGGCCUUCGGGUUGUAAAGUACUUUCAGCGGGGAGGCGUUACCCGCAGAAGAAGCACCGGCUAACUCCGUGCCAGCAGCCGCGGUAAUUC
This 406-nucleotide ribosomal RNA is filed under the name uncultured bacterium. RNAcentral's name for it is "partial 16S ribosomal RNA". It matches the Rfam family "Bacterial small subunit ribosomal RNA", at positions 29 to 526 of the family's 1533-position model. The record is from RNAcentral.